CCCCCGCGCCCCCGCGCGCACGUCGAGCUCCCGCGCCCGGCUCGCCCGGGGAGGUCCCGAGCUGCGGCUGCUGCGGCGGGUCAGGAGGGCGGGGGCUGCGGGGGCGCGCCGGCCGGGCUGCGGGGUUCGCCUCCCGGAGCCGCGGGGGAACAAUGACAGCCGGAUGGGAAGUGGGAGGGGGGCUGGAGCAGCCUCCGGAAAGCGCCCCUGCCCGCACCGGUGUUCUCGUGCUCGGCGGUGCUAAAACAAGCUUGCUCCGAAGAGCUGUAGAUGCUGUUUCUGCCGAGUGAAAAUACUUUCUGUUGGCUCUGCUGUUACACACCUGUGUGUGAAGAAGGGAUUUGAUGGACUGACUCGCUGCCCAGAAAGCGAGUGCUGUAGGUAGUAUUUCAUGACAGUUGGGGGGCGGAGGAAAUGCAGGCUCAUCUAGACAAAAUUUCCCCGGUGAUCCCAGGGGCAGAGCAGUCCUCGGUGUGGGGUCUGGCUUACAAAGAGCGGACAGAUCCUGCCCGAAAGCAAACACCUGCUUGGCCUGGACUGCGGAGAGAGGAAGUGAUCGUGAAACGAGAACAGAGCUCUACCUGUGACUGCCCCGAGAAACCCGGCGAGGGGGUCAGGAGUUCACCCGUCUCUUCCCUAAGUCAGGACUGUACCCUGACCCCCUACUGACACUGGUUGGUCCCAAAGCCCACCCGUGACCAGCUGCUUCGGGCAAUAGGAAGUAAUACCAUGGCCGUCUGGGGCCAACGCAGGUACGCCUCCCUUCACGGAAGCUUCCUAGCUAAGGAAGAACAGGACACUGUGUGUCCACCCAGCUCCUCCUAGCCCCAGUACCCCCGGCUUUAGAGUGUGCACGUGACCCGGGCUGUCCCUCAUGCGCCCCACUGCCCCAGCCCUGGUGCUAGAAGCCAAAAGAGACCGAAUGCAACUCCGUGGUAGCAAUUAAAAAGCAGGAUUUAUUUCGUUCAUGGCGGCAAAGCUGCGAGCUGCAAGACCUUUGUUCUCAACUCCCGCAGCAGUGACGGGCGCUUUGCGACAAGCGUCACAAAACGUGAGCACAGUGUAAGGGCCCCCUGGGGAAGGGCCUUGCGAGGAGGUGGCACCUUGGUCCUCUCUUCUUUCUUUCUUCUGCUGCCUUAAACAUCAGCUGUGCUGCCAAGGGCUUAAUGAAGGAGCUGGCCUCGCUGGGGUUUUCACCCUUGGUGUGGGCAGGACAGGGCCUGAGGGCUCCGGAGUGGCAGCUGCCACUUGGACCAGUUCAAUCCAAUCCACACGAGGGUGUGAAGAAAAGCACGUGUGGCUCUUUGGAGAGCCACCGAUAUACCAGUCUGCCGGCCCUGCUCACUAUCCUGGGUCACCUUCCCGAGAGGAUACUCUCGGAUGAAUUCCUGUUGGACUUGACUUUUCCCACAUUAUCUCGUGUCUGUCUCCAGGAAGCUGGAAAUUUGGCCACCAGACCUCCCCGUCCCGUGGCAGAGAAGCCCAUCCCCCAGAGCCUAUGUGGCAACCGGAGUAAGAAGCUUCCACGGGGCUCAGUCUGGGCCGGGCUUUGAUAGAAGCAUUUGACAUGGAUCAGCUCCCGUAAUCCUCAUAGUAAUCCGCGGGGGUUAGAAUCAUUUCCUUUUUAGAAACUAGGAAACUGAGGCACAGAGUUCAUUUACUUCACAGUGUGUCAUUUUGUCCUAAAACAGAACAGAGGACAAAAGGCCAAACCCUGACAUCCAUGCCAAUCCUCCUUCUGCUCGGGUCCUCCCCCACCACUGCUGUUACCAUAGCUCCACGUACAGACUGGGGGGCUUAACGACAGAAACUUAUUCAACUGGUCCCCUACUGGCUGUUUCCAAACUCCUGCUCUUAUAAACAACACUGCACCAAGCAUCACUGCAUAUCUAUGAGAUGAAUUACUAGAAGAGGGAUUUUUGAGUCAAAGGGCAUGUCCAUUUGUAACUUUUUAAAAAUCUAGUUUAAAAUCUAUUGAUUUAUUUUAGAGAGAAUGCACAUGAGUGGGAGAUGCACAAAGGUUCUCAAGCAGGCUCCACGGUGAGUGAGGAGCACAAGGCAGGGCUUGAACUCACGACCCUGAGUUCACGAGCUGAGCCAAAACCAAGAGUCGGAGGCUUAACCGACUGUGCCACCCAGGCGCCCCUGCAUUUGUAAUUCUGAUGGCGGCUGCUCUCCACAGAGGUCGGAUGGAUCUGCCCUCCCACCAACACUGUUUGAGGCCACCUGUUGUGCUAUAGCUUCACCAACACACCAACAAAAUCGUAUCAAACCCUGCCAAACUGAUGGGCCAAAAAAAUUAAAUAAAUGAUAGAACUCCACUGUACUCUAACUUGUCAUCUGUGUGUUUCCAGUUAGACUGAGCAUCUUUUUACCUGUUCAGGAGCCAGGAGCCAUGACCCCAGAUGGGGGACAGCCGUGCCCUCGGGCCGGGCCCUGGACACAAGUCGUCCAUCCUGACCUCUAGAGUCAACAGAGCUGCAUCUCAAGGCACCAAGUCAAAUGCUGCUUUCCAAAUGGCGGGGCUGCCGGCAUGAUGGACCAAAACCAGAAUAGCAUACUUUCUUACUUUCUAGUUUUAGUAUUUUUUUUCUGGUGCUAAAAUAACAUACAAUCCAGACAAAAAAGAAUAUGAAAGAAAAUGUAGGGGCACCUGGGUGGCUUAGCCAGGUAAGCCUCUGCUUUCAGCUGGUCAUGA
Molecule: RNA transcript, 2698 nt
Organism: Mustela erminea (ermine)
Lineage: Eukaryota; Metazoa; Chordata; Mammalia; Carnivora; Mustelidae
Exons: 4
Source: RefSeq, a predicted model, not a curated record